This 253-nucleotide ribosomal RNA is filed under the name uncultured bacterium. RNAcentral's name for it is "partial 16S ribosomal RNA". It matches the Rfam family "Bacterial small subunit ribosomal RNA", at positions 524 to 776 of the family's 1533-position model. The record is from RNAcentral.
UACGGAGGGGGCUAGCGUUAAUCGGAAUUACUGGGCGUAAAGCGUGCGCAGGCGGUUUUGUAAGCCAGAUGUGAAAUCCCCGGGCUUAACCUGGGAAUGGCAUUUGGGACUGCAAGGCUGGAGUGUGGCAGAGGAGACUGGAAUUCCUGGUGUAGCAGUGAAAUGCGUAGAUAUGCGGAGGAACACCGAUGGCGAAGGCAAUCCCCUGGACCUGUACUGACGCUCAUGCACGAAAGCGUGGGGAGCAAACAGG